RNAcentral lists this ribosomal RNA (482 nucleotides) under uncultured bacterium. RNAcentral's name for it is "partial 16S ribosomal RNA". It matches the Rfam family "Bacterial small subunit ribosomal RNA", at positions 28 to 507 of the family's 1533-position model. The record is from RNAcentral.
GAUGAACGCUGGCGGCGUGCCUAAUACAUGCAAGUCGAACGCUUCACUUCGGUGAAGAGUGGCGCACGGGUGAGUAAUACAUAAGUAACCUGGCAUCUACAGGGGGAUAACUGAUGGAAACGUCAGCUAAGACCGCAUAGGUGUAGAGAUCGCAUGAACUCUAUAUGAAAAGUGCUACGGGACUGGUAGAUGAUGGACUUAUGGCGCAUUAGCUUGUUGGUAGGGUAACGGCCUACCAAGGCGACGAUGCGUAGCCGACCUGAGAGGGUGACCGGCCACACUGGGACUGAGACACGGCCCAGACUCCUACGGGAGGCAGCAGUAGGGAAUUUUCGGCAAAGGGGGAAACCCUGACCGAGCAACGCCGCGUGAAGGAAGAAGUAAUUCGUUAUGUAAACUUCUGUCAUAGAGGAAGAACGGUGGAUAUAGGGAAUGAUAUCCAAGUGACGGUACUCUAUAAGAAAGCCACGGCUAACUACGUG